RNAcentral lists this ribosomal RNA (253 nucleotides) under uncultured bacterium. Its description in RNAcentral is "partial 16S ribosomal RNA". It matches the Rfam family "Bacterial small subunit ribosomal RNA", at positions 524 to 776 of the family's 1533-position model. The record is from RNAcentral.
UACGGAGGGAGCUAGCGUUAUUCGGAAUUACUGGGCGUAAAGCGCGCGUAGGCGGCUUUGUAAGUUAGAGGUGAAAGCCUGGAGCUCAACUCCAGAACUGCCUUUAAGACUGCAUCGCUUGAAUCCAGGAGAGGUGAGUGGAAUUCCGAGUGUAGAGGUGAAAUUCGUAGAUAUUCGGAAGAACACCAGUGGCGAAGGCGGCUCACUGGACUGGUAUUGACGCUGAGGUGCGAAAGCGUGGGGAGCAAACAGG